Patella vulgata (common limpet) is the source of this 2908-nucleotide long non-coding RNA. RefSeq lists it as uncharacterized. The record is from RefSeq and is a predicted model, not a curated record. NCBI's taxonomy places the organism in Eukaryota, Metazoa, Mollusca, Gastropoda, Patellidae. The transcript is spliced from 7 exons.
CGUAAAUCAACAAAUAAUAAUUUGUUGUAUAUUUUCUUACUUAACUGUCAAAUGGCUGUAGCUUAUUUUAUGGGAACUUGAGCUAAAAUUCAAUAUGGCGUGUCUAAUUCUUUUGAUUAGUUGUUUAAUAGGGCUCACAACAGUUAUCGAUGCCAAGCCAUUGAAGCCAUGUGUUAGUCAACAUGGUACCUAUGAAAGUGGUGUUACGUUUACUACGUAUCGUUCAGGACCAUGUGUAAAAUACAUAUGCCAUGAUGGAAAGGUCGCUAGAAUAUCUGAAGGAUGUGAAGACCAUGAUGAUGUUUGUCAACCUCUGGGUUAUGAGUAUGAACAUAACUGUUCCUUAAAGAGAUGUGAAGUAAGAGGCGGUAGUGCAAGAUUUUAUGUCUUAAGGGCUAGGUGUAAGGAUUAUCAUGGACAGUGUCAUGGAUUGAAGGCCAUAUUUCCUCUGCGUAUGGAAGGCUAUAGAUACGAAGAGUGCUCUUGUGACUUUAUCGAACAUAAAUUUGUUUAUAUGUGUACCAUAUAAGUUUAAUCUAGAAAUAAAUAACACAUAUCAAGGAGUGUUCGAUAGUUUUUAUUUAACCCAUAUACCGGUUUCUUAUCAAAAUCCAGCAAUUAUCACUAAACUAAUCCUGUGUUAAAGGGCUGCUAGGGGUAAAACUCUUUGGUGUUUAUCUGCUUUUCAAAUAAUGGUGAGGGGGGGGGGGGGCGCUGUGACUCAGUGAGUAAGAUGCUGGCUCACAAACAAGGAAAUCCGGGUUCGAUCCCCGGGAGUUGGUCGAGGAAGUUGUGCAUGACGGGGUGCCUGGCAAGGACAGUUGAAAACCAAGGCCUCGUGUUUGCGUUGGAGUGCACGUAAAAGAACGCUUGGAAUAUAAGUGUAGGUCGUAACUCCGCUCUCCGGGCAAAAUCGUUCUCAUAGUCAUACAUUGUAUGGCGUAUGCCCAUCUUUGACCUAUCGGGAGCACUACUAAAGAGGGAACGUUGUAGGGUGAAUAGCUACUGUAUUUCUUUGUGACCUUUGGUAAUCGACUAGCAACAUACUUAAACGUAUAUAAAUACUAUAAAUCAAUCCUACUGUGCUGCACCGACAGAAGCAAUAACUGGUUUGUUAACGUAAUACAUUUCGACGGCGGUACUCUUUAAAAAAAACAAAACAGUGAUUGUUUCCCGUAUAAAUUGUGUUGUGUUUUUAAUGUUCUCAAUAAUUGUUAAAUGCCACUCAAAAAUUAGAUGGUACUCUUGUCUUACUAUUGCUUGAUAAAGAUUAGAGUACUAUUAUCGAAACUUUACAUGUUUAUAAACCAGUAAUUGUUAUUCCAUAUAUAACUUUUAGUAAGCUACUUUAGCCUGCUAUAGAUGGAUGUCAUGUUAUUAUUCCAGAUAGAAUAGGGACUUGGGAUUUUAGUCCCUAUUGAAUUGGACAGGUGAAGGGUUUUUGCGUAUUAUUUUUUCUUCCUUAAUGUUCAAAAUGCAACAAACAGCCAAUACAGAAGUAAAGUUGUGGAACAAUGCCAAUGAAGAGGAUAAUAGUGGUGAGUCUGGCUUGGUAGUGCCCCAAUAACACUUGGUGCUUCAAUGCCCCAAAUAUGCUAGUCCUUCAAUAAUCUUAUAACACCCAAUUUCUGAUCAACAAAGGUACAAAUUUGUACCUUCUGGUUCAACGGUUAUUUCUAAAGUACGGGAGUUAUCUCGCGCCCUUUUACACCCAUGCUGAUAUUUGGAACACACGGGUAGACUAUUUCUUUACCUUAUCAGAUAUAGCGAGAAUAAGAUCGGAGACAUGUAUACCUUUCACUAUAGAAGUUUUUCAGUUUACAUCAAUUAGACAUGGUUUACAAACUCAACUUGGUACUUUUCAUACUUUGUUUUCUAACUUUAACACAUUAAGAUAGAUAACAACAAGCUUUUCGGGUCAGAUUCUUCCAAAGAACCAGAAUAUUAAGUAACUUUGUGCUCUGUUUUAAUUUAGAAUUUUGGAUUCUCAUGCACAAAUAAAAUUUACCAAACAGUGGUUUAGUGCUUAAUCGUCAUAAAUUAUUUAUUUAUCAAUAUUAAUAUUGCAUAUUAGCUUCGAAUAUUGGCAUGUCUAUUAAAAUAUAACUGAUUAUUAUACGAAGUUAAUAAAACACUCCUAUAUCAAGCUGUUACGGCUUGGAUUUAAACAUCUGAAUAUAGCUAAACUAAGGAAUGCAAACAGCAGGUACUAUAUUUGAUUUCUUCUUUAUGAUAUAUAUCGACAAUCUGACUAAAUAUAUUUAAUAUUCUGUAUAUUGUUCAUUGAUCUGUAUAACACAAAAUAGAAAACAAAGUUUAGAGUCAUACAAAAUGGCGGUGUGGCCGUUGGUGGUAGCUUUGCUCUGUUGUAUUUCUGUGAUUGGAUCUAAACCUGUUGGAAAUGAUGUGUGUGUGGUUAAUGGAAAGGUUUAUCAUGAAGGUGCAACAUUCCCCGUACCUGAAAUGGGUGGAAAUUGUACACGAUACAAAUGUCAUAAAGGUGGUUAUAAGGAGUUUAAAGUAGAAUGUGAGGACAGGUUGGGAAUUUGCAAACCAUUAAAUGCCAAAGAAACAGUAAAUUGUGUGACGAAACAAUGUCUUACUGGCGAUUCUGGAACUAUUUUCUACAUACAAACUAAUAUUUCAGAAUGUAUGGAUGCUGAUGGUAAAUGCCAUAAGCCAGGAGAAAGAUUUCCUUAUGUCAUAGAUGAUGUUAGAAAACAGAACUGUACAUGUACCAUGCCCAUGGAUAAUCCAGAUGUAACUUACAGCUGUCAUUAGAAUCUGACAUUGUCAGCUUUGUUUGUUGGUACAAUAAAAUAAUUUUUGAAAGAGAAUUAAAACACAUCAGGAUAUGAUAUAUUGUAAUUCUAAAAUAAAACAGGUAUCCUGAUUAGAACCUUCCAAA